UACGGAGGGAGCAAGCGUUACUCGGAAUUAUUGGGCGUAAAGGGCGCGUAGGCGAUUUGAAAAGUCUUGUGUGAAAGCCCCGAGCUUAACUCGGGAAGUGCACAAGAAACUGUUGAAUUUGAGUUCCCGGAGAGGAAGGCAGAAUUCCCGGUGUAGCGGUGAAAUGCGUAGAUAUCGGGAGGAAGACCAGUGGCGAAGGCGGGUCUCUGGACAGUUCCUGACACUGAGGCACGAAGGCCAGGGGAGCAAACGGG
This 254-nucleotide ribosomal RNA is filed under the name uncultured bacterium. Its description in RNAcentral is "partial 16S ribosomal RNA". It matches the Rfam family "Bacterial small subunit ribosomal RNA", at positions 524 to 776 of the family's 1533-position model. The record is from RNAcentral.